Callithrix jacchus (white-tufted-ear marmoset) is the source of this 2183-nucleotide non-coding RNA. NCBI's taxonomy places the organism in Eukaryota, Metazoa, Chordata, Mammalia, Primates, Cebidae. The record is from RefSeq and is a predicted model, not a curated record.
UCUGGGGGUGCGGUGGGGAGCGGAUCAGUUUGGAUACCGGCCCUGAGCAGGAGGCACUGUCCCCCUCCCGGUCCGACCCGGGGCUUCCAGCGGACGCCACCGACGGUGAGCGCACUGUGAACAGAACGAUUUUGUAGGUGAAGAAAGUGUGUCUCAGAGGAGUUAGAGAAGACCAGUUAAUAGAUGACAAUGCUACGGCCUGGAACUCCUAUUUGGAUCCUGGGUCUCCUAUCUCACUCAGCCUGGGUGAGUUUUCUGUGUCUCUACUGCCUCUCCAGUGCUAGUCUGCCAGCCCUCAUCACAAUUGUGAAGUAGUAUGUGGACCAGCUGGGCAGUUGAGCUGAUUUGUGCUGGGCUUGGUGAAGCUCAUUUAUGCAUCUAUUGUCAGCUGUGGGUUUGCUGAAUGGCUUGAGUAAUCUUUUCUGGGCUUUCUCAAAUGUAUGAGGCCUCUGCUGGGAAAACUGAGCUGAUUCCACUCUGCUGCACAUGUCUCAUCCUUCAGCAGGAUAGCCUGGGAGAGAGGGAGGAUGAGAAGGCAUCACUUGGGCACUUGCUCCUGUGCAACUGGGCCCAAUGGCAGAGCCUUCUAGGGGUGAGGGAGGAGACGGUCCUCACUGAAACCAGGUGCAAACCAUCAAUCUAACCUCACCAUUACUAAUCAACAAUGCUGACAAGGUAGUAUAAACCAUCCAAAAACUCCACAGACCUAUGGGUACAAAGUACCACUAGUAAUCAAUAUGUUCUGUGUCUUCCCAGGGAACAAUGCUAUGCAGGUCUAUUUCUCAUUUCAGUAAAAGUUCAGGCCAAUUCUAGACCUGCUGGAAUCACUUCACAGAGCACAGCAUCUCAAAUGCAACAUGCUCAAAACUGAGAUCUUGAUGGUGCUUCCUCGAUUCUUCCUCAUCCUGCUAAUGACAACUUCAUUAUAUUUGCUCAGACCAAAGACCAUGGCAUCAUGUGACAACUCUCUGUAUUUCAUGCCCCACCUCCAAUCUAUCAACAAAUCCUGUUGGUGCUACCUUCAAAAUAUGUUCAGAAUUUGGCUGAGUGCAGUGGCUCACACCUAUAAUGCCAGCACUUUGGGAGGCCAAGGUGGGUAGAUCACUUGAGGUCAGGAGUUCAAGACCAGCCUGCGAAACAUGGGGAAAACCAGUCUCUACUAAAAAUAUGAAAAAAAAUGAGUUGGGUGUGGGGGCAUGCGCCUGUAGUCUCAGCUAUUUGGAAAGCUGAGGUUUUCAAUCACUUGAACUUGGGAGGUGGAGGUUGCAAUGAGCUGAGAUUGCAUCACUGCACUCCAGCCUGGGAGAGUGAGACUUCAUCUCAAAUCUGUAUAUAUAUUCAGAGUUCUAUCACUCUCACCUUCCUCACUCACACUACCAUGAUCCAAGGUGCCCUCAUCUUUCACCUGCUGCUGUGGUUUAAAUGUGUGUGUCCCUCUAAAAUCCAUAUGUUGGAACUUAAACCCCAACCUGAUGGUACUAGAAGGUGGGAUCUCUGGGAGGUGAUUCGGUCAUGAGGAUUCUACCCCCAUGAAUGGGAUUAGUGCCCUCAUGAAAGGGCUGCAGGGAACUAGCUAGGUCAUUUUGUCUUCUGCCAUGCGAGUACACAGAGGAGGCACCAUCUCUGAGAAACAGGCCCUCACCAGACACAGAAUAUGCUGGUGCCUUGACCUUGGACUUCCCAGCCUCUGGAACUUUGAGAGUCAGUUUUGAUUGUUUAGAAAUUGUCCAGUCCCAGGUAUUUUGUUACAGCAGCUGGGCCUCGACUAAGACACCUCCUAACUGGCUACCGGCUGUGCCCUGCCCCCUUUCAGUCUCCUCUCAACAUAGCAGUCAAGGCAAACCAUGAAAAGUGAGUCACUUCUCUGCUAAGACAUCGCAAAUGACUCUCAUCCCACUCAGAAGAAAAGCAGAAGUCCUAACUCUGACCACGGGCUCAGUGUGACUUGGUUGCUCUUGACUUCUCUGAUGCCAUCACCUGCUACGCUCUUUUCUCCACUCUAGUUGGACUACCUUCCUUGUUCCUCAACAUGCAGGCACACCUCCGCUUCUGGCCUUCCAGGUUCCCUCCACUGGAAUGCUCUUUUCCCCUGCGAUCUGUUUUGCCCCCUACUUCCUGCAGGUUUUCUAGUGGGGGCUUUCUAGAUACUUACCUAAAACUUCAGUCUCCUUCCAACAUUUACA